Long non-coding RNA from Oreochromis aureus, 714 nucleotides. Lineage: Eukaryota; Metazoa; Chordata; Actinopteri; Cichliformes; Cichlidae. The record is from Ensembl.
CACAUCUAAAAAGUGCGGGCCUCGAGGCCUGGAGUUGCCUUCCCCUGCACUAAAGUUCCAUCUCUGCCAAAAAGGUGGGGGAUUUUGGUGUGUUUACUGCUUGCAUCGACACAAAGGAAAAUAACAGUCUCAGAUUGCAGUGCUACUAUCAAGACUGUUCACACCCUCCCUAUAAACCCUUCAGCUGUAAAUUCAAGACAUCGAAUGGAGGUAUACUAGCUACAAUGAAAAACGUGAUGUGCAAGAAUUACACUGUCCCAUUAACAGAACACAGUCCUGGCGAGUUGCAAGAGACUGGUAAUGUGACAAACUUCACAUGCACACUGACAAGAAACAAGAGGACUGAAACGAAGAACAUCACCAUAGACUACAAGACACAAAAAGAAAAACAACGAAUCCCAAAGUGCUGUGCUGCAAGCCCAACCUCCCUGUGGCCUGUGGUGCUCCUCACUCUGUGGAGAGUGGUUGACUCCUGAUGAAGGAAGCAUGAAGGACUGUCUCUGACCGCUUUGACUAACACAGAUGUAUCUGUUCCAUUUAGCCAUUUUAAAAUUUAAGAAACUUUCUAAAAUACAUUUCUAUGCAGGCUUCCAUUACUUGCUUGAUCCCCAAGUACAUGCAGUAAUGCAGUAUGUUAACAUAUAAACUGAAUUCCAACUAUGAUGUAUGAUAAUAUGAUAUAUUAAAGACUUAUGAAUUAGAAGUAUUAACUCA